AGUCACUGACAUUAGACUACCCGGUAGUCCAGGGUGUAAACGCUGCAGACUUGGUGUUGGAAGUCCUUUGGGGGCAUUCAGUGCCGGAGAGAAGUUGUUAAGUCUGCUACUUGGGGAGUACGUCCGCAAGGAUGAAACUUAAAGGAGUUGGCGGGGGAGCACCGCAACGGGAGGAGCGUGCGGUUUAAUUGGAUUCAACACCGUAAAACUCACCAGGGAAGACUGUUACAUGAAAGCCGAGAUGAAGACUCUGCUAGAUUUUCAG
Molecule: ribosomal RNA, 265 nt
Filed under: uncultured archaeon
Lineage: Archaea
Description: partial 16S ribosomal RNA
Rfam family: Archaeal small subunit ribosomal RNA
Source: RNAcentral